AGAGAGAGGCACCACGGGUCCCUGGAUCUAUGGAAUUAACACAAUACCUCUGAGGCUGCAUAAGCCUGGAGGGAGGGGGCAGGGAGCAAACUUGAGGUUUUGACUUUCAACCUGGUCCCUUCCUAGGUGAUGUCCCUGGGACUCUAGUAGAAAAUAAACAGCCCUGUCUAGAUUUCUCAGCUGCCUCACUCCCUAUACACAUGG
This 204-nucleotide long non-coding RNA is filed under the name Bos taurus (domestic cattle). Its description in RNAcentral is "long non-coding RNA NONBTAT024675". The record is from RNAcentral. Lineage: Eukaryota; Metazoa; Chordata; Mammalia; Artiodactyla; Bovidae.